CCUACGGGAGGCAGCAGUAGGGAAUAUUGCUCAAUGGGGGAAACCCUGAAGCAGCAACGCCGCGUGGAGGAUGAAGGUUCUCGGAUUGUUAACCCACUUUGUUAGAGAAGAUAAUGACGGUACCUAACGAAUAAGCACCGGCUAACUCCGUGCCAGCAGCCGCGGUAAUACGGAGGGUGCAAGCGUUACUCGGAAUCACUGGGCGUAAAGGGCGCGUAGGCGGGAUAGCAAGUCAGAUGUUAAAGCCUAUGGCUUAACCAUAGAACUGCAUUUGAAACUGUUAUUCUUGAGUAUGGGAGAGGUAGGUGGAAUUCUUGGUGUAGGGGUGAAAUCCGUAGAGAUCAAGAGGAAUACUCAUGGCGAAGGCGGCCUGCUGGAACAUAACUGACGCUGAUGCUCGAAAGCGUGGGGAGCAAACAGGAUUAGAUACCCGAGUAGUC
RNAcentral lists this ribosomal RNA (440 nucleotides) under uncultured bacterium. Its description in RNAcentral is "partial 16S ribosomal RNA". It matches the Rfam family "Bacterial small subunit ribosomal RNA", at positions 338 to 795 of the family's 1533-position model. The record is from RNAcentral.